This 423-nucleotide ribosomal RNA is filed under the name Gerris alacris. RNAcentral's name for it is "partial 16S ribosomal RNA". The record is from RNAcentral. Lineage: Eukaryota; Metazoa; Arthropoda; Insecta; Hemiptera; Gerridae.
GAUAUGAACUCUCCGAAAAAAUUACGCUGUUAUCCCUAAGGUAAGUUAAUCUUAUAAUCAAAAAUUUUGGAUCAAAAAAACAUAAAUUAAUGAAUAAAAUAUUAAAAGUUAAAUAAAUUUUAAUGUCACCCCAACAAAACUUUAUAUUCUAAAAAAUUGUUUAAUAAACAAAAAACAAUAAUUAAUAAAUAAAGUAAACUUCUAUAGGGUCUUCUCGUCCUAUAAAUAAAUUUUAGCUUUUUAACUAAAAAAUUAAAUUCAAAAUAAUUAAAAAAAGAAAGUUGAUUUUUCAUCAAACCAUUCAUACUAGCCUUCAAUUAAAAGACAAAUGAUUAUGCUACCUUCGUACAGUUAAAAUACCGCAGCCUUUUAAUUCAUAAAAAUCAAUGGGCAGGUCUGAUCUUAAAUUAAAAUCAAAAGACC